AUGGUCUCCGCCGAUGCAGCUCGCAACAUCGUCGGCAUCAUCGGCAAUGUCAUCUCCUUCGGGCUCUUCCUCUCCCCCACGCCGACGUUCUGGCGGAUCUGCAAGGCCAAGGACGUGGAGGAAUUCAAGCCGGACCCCUACCUGGCGACGCUGCUCAACUGCAUGCUCUGGGUCUUCUACGGACUCCCCAUCGUCCACCCCAACAGCAUCCUCGUCGUCACCAUAAACGGCAUCGGGCUCGUCAUCGAGGGCAUCUACCUCAUCAUCUUCUUCAUCUACUCCACCAACAACAAGAGGCUGAAGAUGCUCGCCGUGCUCGGCGCCGAGGCGGCGUUCAUGGUGGCUGUGGUGGUCGGCGUGCUCCUCGGCGCCCACACCCACGAAAAGCGCUCCAUGAUCGUCGGCAUCCUCUGUGUCAUCUUUGGCUCCAUCAUGUAUGCCUCCCCGCUCACCAUCAUGGGUAAAGUGAUAAGGACCAAGAGCGUGGAGUACAUGCCAUUCUUCCUAUCGCUGGUGAACUUCCUCAACGGCUGCUGCUGGACAGCCUAUGCGCUCAUCAAGUUUGAUCUCUACGUGACGAUCCCCAAUGGCCUCGGUGCUUUUUUCGGCCUCAUCCAGCUGAUCCUCUACGCCUGCUACUACAAGUCGACGCCGAAGAAGGAGAAGAGCGUCGAGCUGCCCACUGCCGUCAACAACAACACUGGCGGCAGCGGCAACGUCUCCGUUACCGUCGAGAGAUAA
Molecule: ribosomal RNA, 741 nt
Filed under: Triticum aestivum (bread wheat)
Lineage: Eukaryota; Viridiplantae; Streptophyta; Magnoliopsida; Poales; Poaceae
Description: partial small subunit ribosomal RNA
Source: RNAcentral